CGUUCAUCCCCAACCUUUAUGUCAGAUUUUUUCAUCCUCUCAAAGAUACAGUUUGAUUCGGGUAUAAAAAAAAAUUAACUAUUACAGGAAUAAGUAUAAGUAUGAGGAUAAAAAAAAUAGUGUUUGGAUGAAAAUUAGGUUGUUUCCGGGGAUAAGAACAAUUUUAGAUAGUUUUAUAUAAAAAAUAAAGGUGUCGGUGGGAAUAACCGAGAAUAGUAAAAUUAGCGUUUGGGUAUAAAGGGGAUACGGGCCUAUUCCUAUCCCUAUCCCCUAACCAAAGGGGCACAGUAAUUU
Molecule: long non-coding RNA, 294 nt
Filed under: Ananas comosus (pineapple)
Lineage: Eukaryota; Viridiplantae; Streptophyta; Magnoliopsida; Poales; Bromeliaceae
Description: long non-coding RNA (ACOM_LNC013782)
Source: RNAcentral